UUAGAUGUUCUGGGCCGCACGCGC
RNAcentral lists this non-coding RNA (24 nucleotides) under Arabidopsis thaliana (thale cress). RNAcentral also lists the same sequence under 1 other name. The record is from RNAcentral. Lineage: Eukaryota; Viridiplantae; Streptophyta; Magnoliopsida; Brassicales; Brassicaceae.